This 253-nucleotide ribosomal RNA is filed under the name uncultured bacterium. Its description in RNAcentral is "partial 16S ribosomal RNA". It matches the Rfam family "Bacterial small subunit ribosomal RNA", at positions 524 to 776 of the family's 1533-position model. The record is from RNAcentral.
UACGAAGGGGGCUAGCGUUGUUCGGAAUCACUGGGCGUAAAGGGCGCGUAGGCGGCUUUAUAAGUCGGGGGUGAAAGCCUGUGGCUCAACCACAGAAUUGCCUUCGAUACUGUAGAGCUUGAGACCGGAAGAGGUAAGUGGAACUGCGAGUGUAGAGGUGAAAUUCGUAGAUAUUCGCAAGAACACCAGUGGCGAAGGCGGCUCACUGGCUCGGUACUGACGCUGAGGUGCGAAAGCGUGGGGAGCAAACAGG